This 301-nucleotide ribosomal RNA is filed under the name uncultured bacterium. RNAcentral's name for it is "partial 16S ribosomal RNA". It matches the Rfam family "Bacterial small subunit ribosomal RNA", at positions 509 to 809 of the family's 1533-position model. The record is from RNAcentral.
CAGCAGCCACGGUAAUACGUAGGUGGCAAGCGUUGUCCGGAAUUAUUGGGCGUAAAGCGCGCGCAGGCGGAUAGGUCAGUCUGUCUUAAAAGUUCGGGGCUUAACCCCGUGAUGGGAUGGAAACUGCCAAUCUAGAAUAUCGGAGAGGAAAGUGGAAUUCCUAGUGUAGCGGUGAAAUGCGUAGAUAUUAGGAAGAACACCAGUGGCGAAGGCGACUUUCUGGACGAAAACUGACGCUGAGGCGCGAAAGCCAGGGGAGCGAACGGGAUUAGAUACCCCCGUAGUCCCUGUCUCUUAUACA